This 427-nucleotide ribosomal RNA is filed under the name uncultured bacterium. RNAcentral's name for it is "partial 16S ribosomal RNA". It matches the Rfam family "Bacterial small subunit ribosomal RNA", at positions 355 to 774 of the family's 1533-position model. The record is from RNAcentral.
UGGGGAAUAUUGCACAAUGGGCGCAAGCCUGAUGCAGCCAUGCCGCGUGUAUGAAGAAGGCCUUCGGGUUGUAAAGUACUUUCAGCGGGGAGGAAGGUGUUGUGGUUAAUAACCACAGCAAUUGACGUUACCCGCAGAAGAAGCACCGGCUAACUCCGUGCCAGCAGCCGCGGUAAUACGGAGGGUGCAAGCGUUAAUCGGAAUUACUGGGCGUAAAGCGCACGCAGGCGGUCCGUCAAGUCGGAUGUGAAAUCCCCGGGCUCAACCUGGGAACUGCAUCCGAAACUGGCAGGCUUGAGUCUUGUAGAGGGGGGUAGAAUUCCAGGUGUAGCGGUGAAAUGCGUAGAGAUCUGGAGGAAUACCGGUGGCGAAGGCGGCCCCCUGGACAAAGACUGACGCUCAGGUGCGAAAGCGUGGGGAGCAAACA